GAUGAACGCUGGCGGCGUGCCUAAUACAUGCAAGUCGAGCGAACAGAUGAGGAGCUUGCUCCUCUGACGUUAGCGGCGGACGGGUGAGUAACACGUGGAUAACCUACCUAUAAGACUGGGAUAACUUCGGGAAACCGGAGCUAAUACCGGAUAAUAUAUUGAACCGCAUGGUUCAAUAGUGAAAGACGGUUUUGCUGUCACUUAUAGAUGGAUCCGCGCCGCAUUAGCUAGUUGGUAAGGUAACGGCUUACCAAGGCAACGAUGCGUAGCCGACCUGAGAGGGUGAUCAGCCACACUGGAACUGAGACACGGUCCAGACUCCUACGGGAGGCAGCAGUGGGGAAUCUUCCGCAAAGGGCGAAAGCCUGACGGAGCAACGCCGCGUGAGUGAUGAAGGUCUUCGGAUCGUAAAACUCUGUUAUUAGGGAAGAACAAAUGUGUAAGUAACUAUGCACGUCUUGACGGUACCUAAUCAGAAAGCCACGGCUAACUACGUG
This 497-nucleotide ribosomal RNA is filed under the name uncultured bacterium. RNAcentral describes it as "partial 16S ribosomal RNA". It matches the Rfam family "Bacterial small subunit ribosomal RNA", at positions 28 to 507 of the family's 1533-position model. The record is from RNAcentral.